Molecule: long non-coding RNA, 197 nt
Filed under: Parus major (Great Tit)
Lineage: Eukaryota; Metazoa; Chordata; Aves; Passeriformes; Paridae
Description: lncRNA (ENSPMJG00000003218.1)
Source: RNAcentral
UGGCUUCUGCUGCCAGCUACAGCUGCCAGCACUCUGGUGGGGGUGAAGGAUCAGGCUCAGUGAAUUCUUGUGUCUUUGCUGGAGAAGAGUUGUGGCUGAGAAGAAAUCAUUGUUUUGCCAACAAGAAUACUUGUCUAGUACAAACAGUUUCUGCAGUAGAGAAAAGUUUUUGCAGCCUCCCUGAAUUUUUAACAUAG